This 252-nucleotide ribosomal RNA is filed under the name uncultured bacterium. Its description in RNAcentral is "partial 16S ribosomal RNA". It matches the Rfam family "Bacterial small subunit ribosomal RNA", at positions 524 to 776 of the family's 1533-position model. The record is from RNAcentral.
UACGUAGGGGGCAAGCGUUGUCCGGAAUUAUUGGGCGUAAAGCGCGCGCAGGCGGCUAUUUAAGUCUGAUGUUUAAUCCCGGAGCUCAACUCCGGAUCGCAUUGGAAACUGGGUAGCUUGAGUGCAGAAGAGGAAAGUGGAAUUCCACGUGUAGCGGUGAAAUGCGUAGAGAUGUGGAGGAACACCAGUGGCGAAGGCGACUUUCUGGGCUGUAACUGACGCUGAGGCGCGAAAGCGUGGGGAGCGAACAGG